This 313-nucleotide signal recognition particle RNA is filed under the name Candidatus Bathyarchaeota archaeon. Its description in RNAcentral is "signal recognition particle sRNA". It matches the Rfam family "Archaeal signal recognition particle RNA". The record is from RNAcentral. RNAcentral also lists the same sequence under 1 other name. Lineage: Archaea; Thermoproteati; Candidatus Bathyarchaeota.
UGGCGGGUCUAGGUGGGAGGCUCGGCCUCUCCUGCGCCGCAAAUGGUCGAUAUGGCGGACCGAAGACCGGGGAGAGGCACUUACGAUCUGAUUGGCACUUAGCCCGCCUGGCGAUGACUGUUCGUCCUCUGGGGCCGGCGGAGAUGUGGUUCCUUCCGUAGGGAAGGAAUUAACAUCCUAAUCUGCCGAACGUGACUAGGCUCGGGAGAGAGCAAUCCUAAGGCAGAACGUUCGGCGCUCAGGGGGGUACGGACAGGAGUACGGGGCUAGGUGGCAAUUGGGUGUCGGAGUGUCGAUCUCCGGUGACCCGCCG